ACGUCAAGUCCUCAUGGCCCUUACGGGCUGGGCUACACACGUGCUACAAUGGCGGUGACAGUGGGAUGCGAAGGAGCGAUCCGGAGCUAAUCCCGAAAAGCCGUCUCAGUUCGGAUUGUUCUCUGCAACUCGAGAGCGUGAAGUCGGAAUCGCUAGUAAUCGUGGAUCAGCACGCCACGGUGAAUACGUUCCCGGGCCUU
This 200-nucleotide ribosomal RNA is filed under the name uncultured organism. RNAcentral describes it as "partial small subunit ribosomal RNA". It matches the Rfam family "Bacterial small subunit ribosomal RNA", at positions 1182 to 1382 of the family's 1533-position model. The record is from RNAcentral.